Maniola jurtina (meadow brown) is the source of this 123-nucleotide long non-coding RNA. RefSeq lists it as uncharacterized. The record is from RefSeq and is a predicted model, not a curated record. NCBI's taxonomy places the organism in Eukaryota, Metazoa, Arthropoda, Insecta, Lepidoptera, Nymphalidae. The transcript has 3 exons.
AAUAGUUUAUUCGCUGGAAUGUGGGAAGUAGGUCUUAUAUUAAUUGAGUCACCUUACACAUUCUACCAGGUCCUGGUGUGCAAAUUUUUAGUGAAUCUUUAUGGUACAAUAUUCUAACUACCU